This 903-nucleotide ribosomal RNA is filed under the name Hymenoscyphus subsymmetricus. RNAcentral's name for it is "eukaryotic LSU rRNA". It matches the Rfam family "Eukaryotic large subunit ribosomal RNA", at positions 40 to 960 of the family's 3401-position model. Lineage: Eukaryota; Fungi; Ascomycota; Leotiomycetes; Helotiales; Helotiaceae. The record is from RNAcentral.
AUAUCAAUAAGCGGAGGAAAAGAAACCAACAGGGAUUACCUCAGUAACGGCGAGUGAAGCGGUAACAGCUCAAAUUUGAAAUCUGGCUCUUUCAGGGUCCGAGUUGUAAUUUGUAGAAGAUGCUUCGGGUGUAGCUCCGGUCUAAGUUCCUUGGAACAGGACGUCAUAGAGGGUGAGAAUCCCGUAUGUGACUGGCUGCUUUCGCCCAUGUGAAGCUCUUUCGACGAGUCGAGUUGUUUGGGAAUGCAGCUCUAAAUGGGAGGUAUAUUUCUUCUAAAGCUAAAUAUUGGCCAGAGACCGAUAGCGCACAAGUAGAGUGAUCGAAAGAUGAAAAGCACUUUGGAAAGAGAGUUAAACAGUACGUGAAAUUGUUGAAAGGGAAGCGCUUGCAACCAGACUUGCACGCCGUCAAUCAUCCUGGGUUCUCCCUGGUGCACUUGGCGGCGUUCAGGCCAGCAUCGGUUUCGGUGGUUGGAUAAAGGCCUUGGGAAUGUGGCUCCUCUCGGGGAGUGUUAUAGCCCUCGGUGCAAUGCAGCCUACUGGGACCGAGGACCGCGCUUCGGCUAGGAUGCUGGCGUAAUGGUUGUAAGCGACCCGUCUUGAAACACGGACCAAGGAGUCUAACAUCUAUGCGAGUGUUUGGGUGUUAAACCCAUACGCGUAAUUAACGUGAACGGAGGUGAGAACCCUUUAGGGUGCAUCAUCGACCGAUCCUGAUGUCUUCGGAUGGAUUUGAGUAAGAGCAUAGCUGUUGGGACCCGAAAGAUGGUGAACUAUGCCUAAAUAGGGUGAAGCCAGAGGAAACUCUGGUGGAGGCUCGCAGCGGUUCUGACGUGCAAAUCGAUCGUCAAAUUUGGGUAUAGGGGCGAAAGACUAAUCGAACCAUCUAGUAGCUGGUUCUGC